AGGAUUAACGCUGGCGGCGUGCAUGAAACAUGCAAGUCGAGCGCGGUACGUGGCUUCGGUCACGUAUCUAGCGGCGCACGGGUGAGUAACACGUGAGCAACCUACCUUCGAGUUCGGGAUAGCCCUGGGAAACCAGGAUUAAUACCGGAUGUGGUCACAACGGGACAUCCCGAUGUGAAAAAAGGCGCAAGCCGCUCGAUGACGGGCUCGCGGCCUAUUAGCUUGUUGGUGGGGUAACGGCCUACCAAGGCGACGAUGGGUAGCUGGUCUGAGAGGACGAUCAGCCACACUGGGACUGAGACACGGCCCAGACUCCUACGGGAGGCAGCAGUUAGGAAUUUUCCGCAAUGGGCGAAAGCCUGACGGAGCAACGCCGCGUGUGUGAUGAAGGCCUUCGGGUUGUAAGCACUGUCGGAGGGAAGAAUGAAUGACGGUACCCUCCAAGAAGCCCGGCUAACUACGUGCCAGCAGCCGC
RNAcentral lists this ribosomal RNA (475 nucleotides) under uncultured bacterium. Its description in RNAcentral is "SSU rRNA". It matches the Rfam family "Bacterial small subunit ribosomal RNA", at positions 26 to 518 of the family's 1533-position model. The record is from RNAcentral.